This 628-nucleotide ribosomal RNA is filed under the name Fastosarion rowani. RNAcentral describes it as "partial 16S large subunit ribosomal RNA". The stretch from base 181 to 350 matches the Rfam family "Eukaryotic large subunit ribosomal RNA", at positions 2121 to 2337 of the family's 3401-position model. Lineage: Eukaryota; Metazoa; Mollusca; Gastropoda; Stylommatophora; Helicarionidae. The record is from RNAcentral.
GAUUUUUUUAAAUAUUAGAAUAUUAGAUGAAAGUUACAUAUGAAUUAAUCUUCAAAUAUAACUAUUUUUUUAUAAUUUAUUAUUUUAUAAUCUUAUUAAUAAAAUUAUAUUUAUAUAAAUGUAAUAUUAAAUUAAUAAUGUUAAAAUUAGUAUAGUAAAUAAAAUUUAACUAAGGAACUCGGCUAAGUAUUAUUCAUCUGUUUAUCAAAAACAUAGUCUUAUGAGUAUCAUAUAAGAUGAAGCCUGCCCACUGAUAAAAUUUAAAUGGCCGCAGUACCUUGACUGUGCUAAGGUAGCAUAAUAAAUUGACUCUUAAUUGGGGCCUUGAAUGAAUGGAUAAAUGGAUAAUUUCUGUCUCAAAUAAAUUUAUUAAAAGUUACUUAAAAGGUGAAAAUUCCUUUAAUUAUAUUUAAUAGACGAGAAGACCCUAGGAGUUUAAAAUUUUGUUGGGGCGACAAUAUAGCAUAUUAUAUUAACCUAUAUACAUAUUUAUUAUAUAAAACGAAUAAUAUUAAUAAUAAAUAAACUACCCUAGGGAUAACAGCAUAAUAUUAAUUUUAAGUUUGUGACCUCGAUGUUGGACUAGGGACUUUUAACAUUAACAAUGUUAAUUGAUAGUUCUGUUCGA